CAGCAGUGGAUCAGUCCCAUAUGAAAAUGUCCAACGUUACAGGAGAGAAAACACGUUCACAGCCUGAUACAAAAACGCUCUCUUCACUAACUGCUGCAGCAGAAAAUUCACCCUCAAAAAACACACACUGUGAAAAAAAUGAAGUGGACACUAAGCGAUGAAGAGCUGGUCCUGAUUUUUCUAAACAAGAAAAGGAAGAAACUGAGAUUCUGGGUUCAUCAGGAGAAGGAAGAGGAUGUCGGUGGGGCAGCAUGAACUCUUGUUAGCAAGGUUGGGACCACAUCAGAGGAGGCAGAGAAAUCAUUUCAGAGAGCCUACUGACCUGAGCAGUGUCUAUGUGUAUGUCUGAGGUUCAAAAAAUAAUAAAUGCCCGAAAAUUCGUCCAUCAAAAUUAC
Molecule: long non-coding RNA, 395 nt
Organism: Oreochromis aureus
Lineage: Eukaryota; Metazoa; Chordata; Actinopteri; Cichliformes; Cichlidae
Exons: 3
Source: RefSeq, a predicted model, not a curated record